This 465-nucleotide ribosomal RNA is filed under the name uncultured bacterium. Its description in RNAcentral is "partial 16S ribosomal RNA". It matches the Rfam family "Bacterial small subunit ribosomal RNA", at positions 339 to 795 of the family's 1533-position model. The record is from RNAcentral.
CUACGGGGGGCACCAGUGGGGAAUAUUGGACAAUGGGCGAAAGCCUGAUCCAGCCAUGCCGCGUGUGUGAAGAAGGUCUUCGGAUUGUAAAGCACUUUAAGUUGGGAGGAAGGGUUGUAGAUUAAUACUCUGCAAUUUUGACGUUACCGACAGAAUAAGCACCGGCUAACUACUGUGCCAGCAGCCGCGGUAAUACAGAGGGUGCAAGCGUUAAUCGGAAUUACUGGGCGUAAAGCGCGCGUAGGUGGUUUGUUAAGUUGGAUGUGAAAUCCCCGGGCUCAACCUGGGAACUGCAUUCAAAACUGACUGACUAGAGUAUGGUAGAGGGUGGUGGAAUUUCCUGUGUAGCGGUGAAAUGCGUAGAUAUAGGAAGGAACACCAGUGGCGAAGGCGACCACCUGGACUAAUACUGACACUGAGGUGCGAAAGCGUGGGGAGCAAACAGGAUUAGAUACCCCCGUAGUC